This 232-nucleotide ribosomal RNA is filed under the name uncultured bacterium. Its description in RNAcentral is "partial 16S ribosomal RNA". It matches the Rfam family "Bacterial small subunit ribosomal RNA", at positions 524 to 753 of the family's 1533-position model. The record is from RNAcentral.
UACGUAGGGUGCAAGCGUUGUCCGGAAUUAUUGGGCGUAAAGAGCUCGUAGGCGGUCUGUCGCGUCUGCUGUGAAAACUCAGGGCUUAACCCUGAGCUUGCAGUGGGUACGGGCAGACUAGAGUGCGGUAGGGGAGACUGGAAUUCCUGGUGUAGCGGUGAAAUGCGCAGAUAUCAGGAGGAACACCGGUGGCGAAGGCGGGUCUCUGGGGCAGUAACUGACGCUGGAGGAG